This is a non-coding RNA of Chlorocebus sabaeus (green monkey), 3342 nucleotides long. Lineage: Eukaryota; Metazoa; Chordata; Mammalia; Primates; Cercopithecidae. The record is from RefSeq and is a predicted model, not a curated record.
CUGUUCCCCUGGGAGUUCUAAAAUUGCUGCAGCAGCCUCCACUCAGCCUGAGGAUGACAUCAAUACACAGAGGAAGAAGAGUCAGGAAAAGAUGAGAGAAGUUACAGAUGCUCCUGGGCGACCCCCAGAGCUUACCAUUCCUUAGACUUCUUGAUGUGGUGCUAACAGAUUUGUAUGUGAAAUGCGACACUUUCCUGAUUCCCCUUGCAGGACUUGUGACAGGGGUGUGGCUCACCUGUUCAAACUCCUUGAAGAGAGGGGAGCAUGGAGAUGGGCAGGUGCACAGGCCACGGCAAGCGCUUUGGGCUCUGGCUCCAUGAUAGCGUCUAGGUGUGGGUGCCUGCAACCACAGUGUUACAAAGCUCUUUCAGCUUUGCCAUCUGCACACAGCUUGAGUCUGCAGCUCCACAGACUCUCUGACUUAUCUCUAAAGCAGAGGGCCAGUUUGACAGCUUUCUGUAUCCCAAGCUCUUGCCAGGCAUCCCAGAAGAGUCAGACCACAUGUGGGCUCAAAGGAUGAGUGCAAGAUUUUAUUGAGUGGUGGAGGCAGCUCUCAGCAAGAUGGAUGUGGAGCCGGAAUGGGGGAAUGGAGUAGGAAGGUGAUCUUCCCAUGGAGUCAGGCUGCCCAGUGGCCGGACUCUUCUCCAAUCCCCCAAGGCCAAACUCCAUUCAGUGUCCAAUGUCCCUCCUCUUCCCUCUUUCUCCGCGUCAUUGUUUGCCAUCCAUCUGGUUGCCUCCUUGUCUCCUCACCUGCUGGUCUGCCCUGGAUCUUAGGUUUGGAAGUUUAUACAGGGACAGACUGGAGGCAUGGUGGGCCAAAAGGCAAAUUUUGGGAGUGUGAAAACUGAAAUGCCCUUUCUCAUUUAGGGGCACAGGUAUCCAGGCUGGAGGGUGGGACCUUUGCUGGGAAAUCACCCUCUUCUACCCAGUAUUUCCCUGUCUCCUGUCCAUAUCACAUGGAGUUUCAACCAUUCAGAAACACGUUUUUCUCACCUGGUUUUAUGCUAAUCAAAACAACUAUAAAAAUGAAUAAUUUUCUCUUUACAACCUCCCCUGCUGUUGAGCUAUCCAGGAGUGGUCAGAAGGUGUGCAAGCUGCUGAGUCAACCUGACUGCAUCAACCCCAUUAGCUUGAAGGGUGGACAAUAGUAUUGAGAAAUAGUAAAAUAACAAACAGUGCAGAAGAGGCAGGCAUCUCAAAAAGUGCUUGGUGGAAUCGUCACUCAUCCAGAGUGAACACGGUGACACAGUUGUUUCUUCAGAGUUCACUCUAUGAACAAACUGAGCAAUGUGGCAUUUACUUUAAAUUUCAUGGGUUGUGAAAUUUCAUCUAAUGUCAUAAUUAAAACUUCCUACAUAUUGCUUUAGGCAUCUCUCUCUUUUCCCCAAAAUUUUCUCCAGGGCAUCCGCAGAACCUCAGCCUCCUCCACAGCCUCCUCCACAGCCUCCCAGCUCUUUCUUUUUCCUCCUGCACGGCUUUGGGUGUCCCACCAUUUCCCCCAGUAAUGCAGCAAACUGUGAGUUUCCACAGCCUCUCACAGACAUGACUUCACCCACAAACCUCUGUGAGACUCAAGCGUACCCCUUCUUCUUCACAUAGAUCCUCUUCACCCCAGAGAAUUGAGUCAACCAAACAGGAAAUCUCAGGACAAACAGUGCUGGCAAACAUCAUUUUGUUUAAAGUGUCAUAUCAACAUAUAUUUGUUGAGAAACUAUUUGGAGUUCUUUGCAAACUGUAACACUUGUUUAGGAAAAAAGAUAGGGAGAAGAAAUUAGGAUCAGUUAUUUACUUGAGGCAUGUGAGUGUUCUUCAUGUAUGACUCAAGGACAUCCCAUUUCUUUCCUCCCCGGUCUUCCAUCUUACAUCUGCUUUCCUCCCUCUUCCCAUGUUCCUUUCCUCAUGUUCCUCUCCCUCUCCCUCACCUAUAGGACUGAGAAUUCCUGUGGUCUCCUGAAAUCAGUUUUUUUCCACCACAUUGUAUACGAGCUGUGGAAAGUUUUAGUUCUUGUCGACUCCACGACCCACAUUGGUCAGGCAGAAGCUCCCGUGUAAAAGGUACCCCUUGAGCAUUGGCAAGGUGCAUGACACACACUUGGUCACUGGAGCAAAUGAGUAGAGAGUGAUAAAUAGAAGAAGGGAGCUUUGAGCCUGAGCUCUCUGGAGCAUAAGAGUGGUUGAGGCUUGGCACUUGCCACCUAGAUUUCAGACAAUGUGUCAGGAAUCCUGGAUGUCCAGAAAGAAACCUGUUCCAGGGCUGGAGUCCCAACAUAGAGCUUUUAUUUAGGCAGUGUUGAGCAAUAAUAUGUGGUUGGAGUUCUGCAGAGGGACCCCAUAGGUGCAUUGCGUAACGAAGCUACGGGAGAAAGGCCUCACCCCUAAAAAUUCCAGAAUUAUAAAUCUACCAGCUGCUUACAACUUCAGCCUGGAAAAGCCAGGGGCAUUAAACUCCAAACUGUGAGGGCAGCCAUGUGAGCUGCACCCUGCAAAGCCACAGGAAGCAAAUAGAAGCAAUCAUGGCACUGCAAGUUGUGACUACUCCACGAUGUGAAUCAUGGAUCAUGCAAAUUACAUUAAUGUUCUAACCUGCCCUCCAAAGGGAGAAUGAAGUAAAAAUUAUCCCAUACAGUAUGUCCAGGGUCGUUGCCAGCUAAUUGCUCUUAUAACCUGUGAGGGAGGAAGAAAGAAACAUUUGCAACCAGGCCAGUGACAGAAAUGGAUUCGAAACAUCAGCGUGUGAAGCUGAAUGAUGGCCACUUCAUGCCCGUCCUGGGAUUUGGCACCUAUGCGCCUGCAGAGGUAAUAAUAAUAUUUUUAGUGUUGAGAGUUCAAAAGAGCUAGAGUAAGUGGAAGCUAGAAUAAGUGGAAGCUGACCAGGUUGUCAGGCUUGUGUUCCCAAGUUACCUGCAUGACUCUCCUUUAAACGUCAGUCUUUGUUCUGCAAUGCAGUCUUGUCACAGGGUCAUCUACUGCUUAUUUGGGGCACUGUUUUGUCUUCUGUUUAUGUUUGUUUCACAGCUUGUCAGAGUCUAUAAAACUCAGCAGAAAGAACACGGCCUGCCUGCUCCCUCUCUUGAAGAUUGAUUGCAAUGGGAGUGGUUUCUCUGUUUCUUUGUAUAGUUGAACAGAUAUUUACUUCUUCCAAGAAGACACAAUUCAGAGGAAUAUUAAUGGCAAAAGUUAGUGGAGACAGGUUGCAUGAAAUCUGUUGGGAGAGUAUCACUGUUCUGUUGGGUGGCCUUGAGCACCAAACUGUAAUACUAGAGCUGGACUAAAGAGAGUUUCCCAUGUACUACUCUCAGCUCUGGGAAAAUUACCUGAAACGAUAAAAUAUCCUCAUUUUAA